UCUUAUGCUCGUAGUUUGCUUGGGACAAGGAGCAGCUCGAGGAGCAGCUCGAGGAGUGAGGUUUCAGUUUUUUAGGGCACAUGUUCUACCAUGAGCAGACGCAGAGCGUUGGCAGAACAUUUGCCUCCAGACGAUGUAAGUUAGUUGUUAAAUUACAUUAUGUAAGUUACUUAUGUUGUAUGAUGUAAGUUACUUGUUUCAUAGGAUGCUGAAAUCGAGUGACAGUCGAGAGAAGAUGUUGCAGUUGGGGCGGUGGUAGAGGACCAUGCGAUAGAUGAUGAUGAAGAUGAUGGUGGAGAUG
RNAcentral lists this long non-coding RNA (301 nucleotides) under Zea mays. Its description in RNAcentral is "long non-coding RNA (ZMAY_LNC001863)". Lineage: Eukaryota; Viridiplantae; Streptophyta; Magnoliopsida; Poales; Poaceae. The record is from RNAcentral.